Molecule: long non-coding RNA, 209 nt
Filed under: Rosa chinensis
Lineage: Eukaryota; Viridiplantae; Streptophyta; Magnoliopsida; Rosales; Rosaceae
Description: sRNA RchiOBHm_Chr3g0454201
Source: RNAcentral
AUAGCUCUUGGAUUGGCUGAGAAGACAACCUUCUCAGUUCUGCACACAUAAACUGAAGAUUUAUCCAUCCUUCAUCAAAGGCUGAGUCAGAAGCUCAAAUCAAGCCCAAAGUCAUAACAACAAAUUCGAGCCAGAAGCUCAGGCCCAAGUUGCAAGGCCAGAAUAGCAGCUCACUACAUGUUACCAUGACAAAAGUAAGGUUCAAAUGA